RNAcentral lists this ribosomal RNA (254 nucleotides) under uncultured bacterium. Its description in RNAcentral is "partial 16S ribosomal RNA". It matches the Rfam family "Bacterial small subunit ribosomal RNA", at positions 524 to 776 of the family's 1533-position model. The record is from RNAcentral.
UACGGGGGGAGCAAGCGUUGUUCGGAUUUACUGGGCGUAAAGGGCGCGUAGGCGGCCAGCGCAAGUCAGUUGUGAAAUCUCCGGGCUUAACUCGGAAAGGUCAACUGAUACUGCGCGGCUAGAGUGCAGAAGGGGCAACUGGAAUUCUCGGUGUAGCGGUGAAAUGCGUAGAUAUCUGGAGGAACACCGGUGGCGAAGGCGGCAUCCUGGACCGACACUGACGCUGAGGAGCGAAAGCCAGGGGAGCAAACAGG